AGGACGACGAUGUUUUGGUGGCAUUGGCAACUUCAUCAUGUCCUCACAUAAUGACAGACUUUGACAAGUAGCUGGAUAUAUGUAGAUAUCUAUGAAUGAUCCUCUUCCAUGAUACAAUCAAGAUGGAUCACAUUGCUCUGGAUUGUUCAUUUCACGAUUACGACAACUAGCAGUCCCACCUCAUCAGUUUUGAACCACAAUCUACCGUUUGCAAUAAUGAACACCCAAGAUGACGACAAGCUGUGGUACGAAAGAUAUGCCAGCCUGACUGAAGAGAGCCUGUGAGAUGCUGCCUCGUCAUGAUUUCAAAUACGUCAUCUUCUCAGCGUCUCAACCUAAUUCAGUUCAACCUUGUGAUUCAUUCAAUACUAAGAUGUUAAGGUACGUCUCACGUAGUGAGUUUUAAAUUGUUGUAAAAAGAUCUGUUUACAAAUGGACUCUUAAAAAACCACUCAGACAUCAGUCUUUACUGUUUACAACUUGACAAAGUUUAUAUUUAAUUCAAAGCUAUGAAUUUAAAUCAAACUAAGUGUACAGCGUAAACAGAUCUUUACCAUAUAGAAAAGUUUGCGGUAACACCAUGUAAUAACAAUCUCUAAAUG
This is a long non-coding RNA of Asterias rubens (European starfish), 602 nucleotides long. RefSeq lists it as uncharacterized. The transcript has 3 exons. Lineage: Eukaryota; Metazoa; Echinodermata; Asteroidea; Forcipulatida; Asteriidae. The record is from RefSeq and is a predicted model, not a curated record.